CGUGCAGGUGGCUCUGUAAGUUGGAUGUGAAAUUUCCCGGCUUAACCGGGAAGGGUCAUUCAAUACUGUGGGGCUUGAGGGCAGAAGAGGGGGGUGGAAUUGCCGGUGUAGUGGUGAAAUGCGUAGAGAUCGGGAGGAACACCAGUGGCGAAGGCGGCCUCCUGGGCUGUCCCUGACGCUCAGACGCGAAAGCUAGGGGAGCGAACGGGAUUAGAAACCCCGGUAGUCCUAGCUGUAAACGAUGCAGACUAGGUGUUGGCGGCUUAAACCCUGCCAGUGCCGUAGCUAACGCGUGAAGUCUGCCGCCUGGGGACUACGGCCGCAAGGCUAAA
This 332-nucleotide ribosomal RNA is filed under the name uncultured bacterium. Its description in RNAcentral is "bacterial SSU rRNA". It matches the Rfam family "Bacterial small subunit ribosomal RNA", at positions 568 to 898 of the family's 1533-position model. The record is from RNAcentral.